RNAcentral lists this transfer RNA (90 nucleotides) under Thermofilum sp. Its description in RNAcentral is "tRNA-Tyr". It matches the Rfam family "tRNA". Rfam says of the family: Transfer RNA (tRNA) molecules are approximately 80 nucleotides in length. Their secondary structure includes four short double-helical elements and three loops (D, anti-codon, and T loops). The record is from RNAcentral. Lineage: Archaea; Thermoproteati; Thermoproteota; Thermoprotei; Thermofilales; Thermofilaceae.
GCCGGGGUCGCCUAGCCUGGUCCAGGGCGACACGCUGUAGACCCGUUGGCCGUGAAGGCCGCCCGGGUUCGAAUCCCGGCCCCGGCGCCA